RNAcentral lists this long non-coding RNA (723 nucleotides) under Pan troglodytes (chimpanzee). RNAcentral describes it as "long non-coding RNA NONPTRT012084". Lineage: Eukaryota; Metazoa; Chordata; Mammalia; Primates; Hominidae. The record is from RNAcentral.
GGGCCUGCGGGCCGCGGGACAGGGAGGGCGCGGGGCCGGGCUGCUGGGUCCGAGCUCUGGGCACUAUGUCCUCCCUGACGCCGCCAGGACAGCGCCUGGCCCAGGCCUGGGCCUGGUGAACGCGGGUUUCUUCCUCUGAGAAUCAGAAACUCGGAGUGGAGCCCAGCAAUGUGUGUCCUGACAAGUCCACGCGCGACCCCAGUGCUGGCUAGGGUUGCAAAGCCACUGCUCUACGGAGCGAGCGAGAUCCAUCAUAGUGGGACAAGCGAGAGGAUGAGGCCAUGCAGACCAGGGAGAGAGGCUCCUUACACUGACAUUCAAAGUCCUCAAUGACCCGGCCCCAGCCUGCCUCUGCAGCCUUAUCUCCCUACCAACCAUCAAAGCAGAACAAAAAGCUGUGCCUCCGAUUUAGGUUUUAGCAAACCACAAGAAGCAUUUCAUAAACUUGUGACUCAAGUAGAAAAGUACUGUUCCACGCACUUGACACCAAUCCACCCAUUUCACCUGCAUGAUCACCCUGCCUUUGCAUGAGUUGCCGGUGUGGACAGAGCAGGGACACAGUGAGACAGCGGAUUCCAGCUUUGCUCUUACCUAGAACACACUGCCUCUCACCAGGAAUCGUCCUUCCAUUUUAUGCAGUUAUCCCAGACAAUGAUGCACAAGCUUUGGGAAAAAAACCUCACAAGUCCAAAGGUGUACUUCAUAAUAAAGGCAAGUUCUCUG